AACGAACGCUGGCGGCAUUCCUAACACAUGCAAGUCGAACGAGACCUUCGGGUCUAGUUGCGCACGGGUGCGUAACGCGUGGGAACCUGCCCUUAGGUUCGGAAUAACUCCCCGAAAGGGGUGCUAAUACCGGAUAAUGUCUUCGGACCAAAGAUUUAUCGCCUUUGGAUGGGCCCGCGUUGGAUUAGCUAGUUGGUAGGGUAAAAGCCUACCAAGGCGACGAUCCAUAGCUGGUCUGAGAGGAUGAUCAGCCACACUGGGACUGAGACACGGCCCAGACUCCUACGGGAGGCAGCAGUGGGGAAUAUUGGACAAUGGGCGAAAGCCUGAUCCAGCAAUGCCGCGUGAGUGAUGAAGGCCUUAGGGUUGUAAAGCUCUUUUACCCGGGAUGAUAAUGACAGUACCGGGAGAAUAAGCUCCGGCUAACUCCGUG
RNAcentral lists this ribosomal RNA (433 nucleotides) under uncultured bacterium. RNAcentral's name for it is "partial 16S ribosomal RNA". It matches the Rfam family "Bacterial small subunit ribosomal RNA", at positions 29 to 507 of the family's 1533-position model. The record is from RNAcentral.